GGGCCCGCACAAGCAGUGGAGCAUGUGGUUUAAUUCGAUGCAACGCGAAGAACCUUACCAGGCCUUGACAUCCUCGGAACUUUCUAGAGAUAGAUUGGUGCCUUCGGGAACCGAGUGACAGGUGCUGCAUGGCUGUCGUCAGCUCGUGUCGUGAGAUGUUGGGUUAAGUCCCGUAACGAGCGCAACCCUUGUCCUUAGUUGCCAGCACAUUAUGGUGGGAACUCUAGGGAAACUGCCGGUGCUAAGCCGGAGGAAGGCGGGGAUGACGUCAAGUCCUCAUGGCCCUUACGGGUAGGGCUACACACGUGCUACAAUGGCAGUGACAAUGGGAUAAUCCCCAAAAGCUGUCUCAGUUCGGAUUGUCGGCUGCAACUCGCCGGCAUG
This 384-nucleotide ribosomal RNA is filed under the name uncultured bacterium. RNAcentral's name for it is "bacterial SSU rRNA". It matches the Rfam family "Bacterial small subunit ribosomal RNA", at positions 917 to 1322 of the family's 1533-position model. The record is from RNAcentral.